GUGCCAGCCGCCGCGGUAAUACGUAGGUGGCAAGCGUUGUCCGGAAUUAUUGGGCGUAAAGGGCGCGUAGGUGGUUUUUUAAGUCUGAUGUGAAAUCCCACGGCUUAACCGUGGAGCUGCAUUGGAAACUGGAUGACUUGAGUGCAGAAGAGGAAAGCGGAAUUCCAAGUGUAGCGGUGAAAUGCGUAGAGAUUAGGAGGAAGACCAGUGGCGAAGGCGACUUUCUGGUCUGCAACUGACGCUGCGGCGCGAAAGCAUGGGGAGCAAACAGGAUUA
This 276-nucleotide ribosomal RNA is filed under the name uncultured bacterium. RNAcentral describes it as "partial 16S rRNA". It matches the Rfam family "Bacterial small subunit ribosomal RNA", at positions 505 to 780 of the family's 1533-position model. The record is from RNAcentral.